This 889-nucleotide ribosomal RNA is filed under the name Xylaria aleuriticola. RNAcentral's name for it is "Xylaria sp. ZS-2021a partial large subunit ribosomal RNA". It matches the Rfam family "Eukaryotic large subunit ribosomal RNA", at positions 34 to 956 of the family's 3401-position model. Lineage: Eukaryota; Fungi; Ascomycota; Sordariomycetes; Xylariales; Xylariaceae. The record is from RNAcentral.
CUAGCAUAUCAAUAAGCGGAGGAAAAGAAACCAACAGGGAUUGCCCUAGUAACGGCGAGUGAAGCGGCAACAGCUCAAAUUUGAAAUCUGGCCCUCGGGUCCGAGUUGUAAUUUGUAGAGGAUGCUUUUGGCGCGGUGCCUUCCGAGUUCUCUGGAACGAGACGCCUUAGAGGGUGAGAGCCCCGUACGGUUGGACACCAAGCCUCUGUAAAGCUCCUUCGACGAGUCGAGUAGUUUGGGAAUGCUGCUCUAAAUGGGAGGUAAAUUUCUUCUAAAGCUAAAUAUUGGCCAGAGACCGAUAGCGCACAAGUAGAGUGAUCGAAAGAUGAAAAGCACUUUGAAAAGAGGGUUAAAUAGCACGUGAAAUUGUUGAAAGGGAAGCGUUUGCGACCAGACCUUUUCCUGGCGGAUCAUCCGGUGUUCUCACCGGUGCACUUCGCCUGGUUUAGGCCAGCAUCGGUUUCUGUAGGGGGAUAAAAGCUCUGGGAACGUAGCUCCCUCGGGAGUGUUAUAGCCCUUUGCAUAAUACCCUUACGGGGACCGAGGACCGCGCUUUAUGCAAGGAUGCUGGCGUAAUGGUCGUCAACGACCCGUCUUGAAACACGGACCAAGGAGUCGAACAUUUGUGCGAGUGUUUGGGUGUUAAACCCUCACGCGUAAUGAAGGUGAACGUAGGUGAGAGCCCUUACGGGUGCAUCAUCGACCGAUCCUGAUGUCUUCGGAUGGAUUUGAGUAAGAGCAUAACUGUUCGGACCCGAAAGAUGGUGAACUAUGCGUGGAUAGGGUGAAGCCAGAGGAAACUCUGGUGGAGGCUCGCAGCGGUUCUGACGUGCAAAUCGAUCGUCAAAUCUGCGCAUGGGGGCGAAAGACUAUCGAACCAUCAGCGGUU